AGAAGGGUGGCUUAGUGGAAAGUGCCUGGGCCUAGGGAUCAGAGGACCUGGGUUCUAAUCCUAGCUCUGCCA
Molecule: transfer RNA, 72 nt
Filed under: Ornithorhynchus anatinus (platypus)
Lineage: Eukaryota; Metazoa; Chordata; Mammalia; Monotremata; Ornithorhynchidae
Rfam family: tRNA
About the family: Transfer RNA (tRNA) molecules are approximately 80 nucleotides in length.
Source: Rfam by way of RNAcentral